AACGAACGCUGGCGGCAUGCCUAACACAUGCAAGUCGAACGAGACCUUCGGGUCUAGUGGCGCACGGGUGCGUAACGCGUGGGAACCUGCCCUUAGGUUCGGAAUAACUCCCCGAAAGGGGUGCUAAUACCGGAUAAUGUCUUCGGACCAAAGAUUUAUCGCCUUUGGAUGGGCCCGCGUUGGAUUAGCUAGUUGGUAGGGUAAAAGCCUACCAAGGCGACGAUCCAUAACUGGUCUGAGAGGAUGAUCAGCCACACUGGGACUGAGACACGGCCCAGACUCCUACGGGAGGCAGCAGUGGGGAAUAUUGGACGAUGGGCGAAAGCCUGAUCCAGCAAUGCCGCGUGAGUGAUGAAGGCCUUAGGGUUGUAAAGCUCUUUUACCCGGGAUGAUAAUGACAGUACCGGGAGAAUAAGCUCCGGCUAACUCCGUG
This 433-nucleotide ribosomal RNA is filed under the name uncultured bacterium. RNAcentral describes it as "partial 16S ribosomal RNA". It matches the Rfam family "Bacterial small subunit ribosomal RNA", at positions 29 to 507 of the family's 1533-position model. The record is from RNAcentral.